CACGCGGCUGCCGCUUAGCAGCCCUUUUUGAGUUCCGUCGUGAGAUCGGAUUUGCAGAACCCUACAAUGAACAAAAAAUUGGGAUGCUAAGAGGGUAAAAGAAAGGGGCAUAAUAAAAUGGCCAGAGGAUAAAACCCAAAAAAUUAAAGUGCUAAUAGGGUAAAAAGAAAAGAAAAAUGGGAACUUAGGUUUCAUUGUCAGGCAUAUCUCCUUCUCCAACCAUUUUGGAUUCUUAUCUGAUGAUAACCUGAUCUCAAAUCAAGUUUGAGGAUUCAACUCUUAUCUGAUGAUAACCUGAUCUCAAAUCAAGUUUGAGGAUUCAAUCCAGCCACACGUUCCCCUACGGCUACCCUAUCCGAACCAUGGGAAAGAAAGUUUGUCAGAAAUUACUUGUACUUG
This 399-nucleotide long non-coding RNA is filed under the name Triticum aestivum (bread wheat). Its description in RNAcentral is "long non-coding RNA (TAES_LNC021741)". Lineage: Eukaryota; Viridiplantae; Streptophyta; Magnoliopsida; Poales; Poaceae. The record is from RNAcentral.